GACGAACGCUGGCGGCGUGCCUAAUACAUGCAAGUCGAGCGCAGGAAAUCGACGGAACCCUUCGGGGGGAAGUCGACGGAAUGAGCGGCGGACGGGUGAGUAACACGUAAAGAACCUGCCCUCAGGUCUGGGAUUACCACGAGAAAUCGGGGCUAAUACCGGAUGGGUCAUCGGACCGCAUGGUCCGAGGAUGAAAGGCGCUUCGGCGUCGCCUGGGGGUGGCCUUGCGGUGCAUUAGCUAGUUGGUGGGGUAAUGGCCCACCAAGGCGACGAUGCAUAGCCGACCUGAGAGGGUGAUCGGCCACACUGGGACUGAGACACGGCCCAGACUCCUACGGGAGGCAGCAGUAGGGAAUCUUCCACAAUGGACGAAAGUCUGAUGGAGCAACGCCGCGUGAACGAUGAAGGCCUUCGGGUCGUAAAGUUCUGUUGUAAGGGAAGAACAAGUGCCGCAGGCAAUGGCGGCACCUUGACGGUACCUUGCGAGAAAGCCACGGCUAACUACGUGCCAGCAGCCGCAGUAA
Molecule: ribosomal RNA, 524 nt
Filed under: uncultured bacterium
Lineage: Bacteria
Description: partial 16S ribosomal RNA
Rfam family: Bacterial small subunit ribosomal RNA
Source: RNAcentral